Molecule: long non-coding RNA, 200 nt
Organism: Rhinichthys klamathensis goyatoka
Lineage: Eukaryota; Metazoa; Chordata; Actinopteri; Cypriniformes; Leuciscidae
Exons: 2
Source: RefSeq, a predicted model, not a curated record
AGUGAGGACUUUAAUUUUGAAAAGCAGUCACAGACAACCUCUUAGUUCAGGAAGCAGGAAGUACUAGUAGUACUGCAAUAGUUCAGCAAAAUGUGGUAGCUAUGUGACAUCUUUGAGCAUCACCUUUCUCUGCAUCUGUUAGACGCAAUGUCUUUUCACAGUUGAAUCAUAAACUUCAGAAACGACUUGUGGUGUCCAGC